GAAUGAAACCUAGUGAUUUUUGUUUUAGUGGCGGACGGGUGCGUAACGCGUGGGUAACCUGCCGUAUACAGGGGGAUAACACUUCCAAAUAGGUGCUAAUACCGCAUAAGCGCACAGCUUCGCAUGGAGCAGUGUGAAAAGCGUAAACGGUAUACGAUGGACCCGCGUCUGAUUAGCUAGUUGGCGGGGUAGAGGCCCACCAAGGCGACGAUCAGUAGCCGGCCUGAGAGGGUGACCGGCCACAUUGGGACUGAGACACGGCCCAAACUCCUACGGGAGGCAGCAGUGGGGAAUAUUGCACAAUGGGGGGAACCCUGAUGCAGCGACGCCGCGUGAGUGAAGAAGUAUUUCGGUAUGUAAAGCUCUAUCAGCAGGGAAGAAAAUGACGGUACCUGACUAAGAAGCCCCGGCUAACUACGUGCCAGCAGCCGCGGUAAUACGUAGGGGGCAAGCGUUAUCCGGAUUUACUGGGUGUAAAGGGAGCGUAGACGGUUAUGCAAGUCUGAAGUGAAAGCCCAAGGCUCAACCAUGGGACUGCUUUGGAAACUGUAAAACUGGAGUGCAGGAGAGGUAAGCGGAAUUCCUAGUGUAGCGGUGAAAUGCGUAGAUAUUAGGAGGAACACCAGUGGCGAAGGCGGCUUACUGGACUGUAACUGACGUUG
Molecule: ribosomal RNA, 662 nt
Filed under: uncultured bacterium
Lineage: Bacteria
Description: bacterial SSU rRNA
Rfam family: Bacterial small subunit ribosomal RNA
Source: RNAcentral